This 991-nucleotide long non-coding RNA is filed under the name Marmota monax (woodchuck). Lineage: Eukaryota; Metazoa; Chordata; Mammalia; Rodentia; Sciuridae. The record is from RNAcentral.
CACUGGCAUCAGCACCCGCUCAGGACUCCUGGCCACAGCCCAUGUCAGGAACUCUGGCUGCCACUCCCGUGCAGACCCCCAUCUACCAACGUGGGGCUCCCCUGGUCACCUCCAUCUUGGGGCACUAUAACCAUUGCCACAGUCCACUACACGUGGUAUCCUGCACCUGGGGUCACUGCACUGGGUCUGGUGACAGCUGCCAGCCACAAUACUGCACGCCACAGAGCUGUAUCUCCCAACAGGCUGCUCAAUGACACUGCCCAGCCCCACCAGGUCGACACCCCAUCAUUGAAAGCAGCAGCCUCCAUCUGGGCACACCUUCGUCACCAUCUUUAGCUGGGGCACUCCCAGCUUGGAACAUGGGCCGGGGCUUAGAAACAAUAUCAAGGUACCAGAGCUCCCCAAUUCCCCCCUCUACCCGGCACAGUGCCUGAGACUACACAGCCAGUCCACAGCUUGCCAAACUGGGUGGCAAAACCGGGUCCUGAACUGCCCAAUACAACACAGCUCUCUAGACAGGUGUGCAGCCCCAGAGCGCAGCCCACAAGACCUCUGGAGAGAGGUUUCUGAUUGGGAAGUAGAAAGGAAGUGGGUGAGGGAGAUAGAGCUUAGAUACUAAGUUAGAGACCAAGAAUUGCAAGGUCUACCGGCGAUAUAAGGAGAUAAGACCAGGCACCCACAUCACACCAGUGGGCUCCAAAGGAGGCCCUUGGGUGCAGUCUCCCAUCAGGAACCGGCAAGUGCUCUACCAAACUUCCAGGAGCUCUGCCCCCAAGAGCAACCCUCCUGCCCUAAUAACCUCCAGCAUCCUGAGGGUGGAGAUACCAGCAAACACAGAAACCCCACCUAUCACCUGAGAAGAGAGGCAGGAAAGACACUGACCUCCAACCAAAACUAUCCUUGUAUCUUCCUUCGAGAUUUUUUUUCCUUUUUUCCUUCUCCCUCACAUCCCCGACAUUUGUGAAACCAAGUGCUUUUCAUGAAGUAGGCU